AGCGAACGCUAGCGGCGGGCCUAACACAUGCAAGUCGAGCGGAGGGAGCAAUCCUUCAGCGGCGGACGGGUGAGUAACGCGUAGGUAAUGUACCUUCUGGUGGGGAAUAACCGUGGGAAACCAUGGCUAAUACCGCAUAUCGUCCUUACGGAUGAAAGCCUUCGGGCGCCAGAAGAGCAGCCUGCGUCCCAUUAUUUAGUCCUAGUUGGUGAGGUAACGGCUCACCAAGGGUACGAUGGGUAGCUGGUCUGAGAGGAUGAUCAGCCACACUGGAACUGAGACACGGUCCAGACUCCUACGGGAGGCAGCAGUGGGGAAUAUUGCGCAAUGGGCGAAAGCCUGACGCAGCCACGCCGCGUGAGUGAUGAAGGCCUCGGUUGUAAGACUCUGUCGGAGGGAAGGACGGGAGGAAAGUACCAGACGGUACCGUCGCAAGAAAGACACCGGCUAACUCUGUGCCAGCAGCCGCGGUAAACGUAGUACGUGU
RNAcentral lists this ribosomal RNA (487 nucleotides) under uncultured bacterium. RNAcentral's name for it is "bacterial SSU rRNA". It matches the Rfam family "Bacterial small subunit ribosomal RNA", at positions 29 to 535 of the family's 1533-position model. The record is from RNAcentral.